Molecule: ribosomal RNA, 470 nt
Filed under: Enterococcus casseliflavus
Lineage: Bacteria; Bacillati; Bacillota; Bacilli; Lactobacillales; Enterococcaceae
Description: bacterial SSU rRNA
Rfam family: Bacterial small subunit ribosomal RNA
Source: RNAcentral
GCUUUUUCUUUCACCGGAGCUUGCUCCACCGAAAGAAAAAGAGUGGCGAACGGGUGAGUAACACGUGGGUAACCUGCCCAUCAGAAGGGGAUAACACUUGGAAACAGGUGCUAAUACCGUAUAACACUAUUUUCCGCAUGGAAGAAAGUUGAAAGGCGCUUUUGCGUCACUGAUGGAUGGACCCGCGGUGCAUUAGCUAGUUGGUGAGGUAACGGCUCACCAAGGCAACGAUGCAUAGCCGACCUGAGAGGGUGAUCGGCCACACUGGGACUGAGACACGGCCCAGACUCCUACGGGAGGCAGCAGUAGGGAAUCUUCGGCAAUGGACGAAAGUCUGACCGAGCAACGCCGCGUGAGUGAAGAAGGUUUUCGGAUCGUAAAACUCUGUUGUUAGAGAAGAACAAGGAUGAGAGUAAAAUGUUCAUCCCUUGACGGUAUCUAACCAGAAAGCCACGGCUAACUACGUGCCA